This 1192-nucleotide long non-coding RNA is filed under the name Homo sapiens (human). RNAcentral describes it as "HSALNT0234181". Lineage: Eukaryota; Metazoa; Chordata; Mammalia; Primates; Hominidae. The record is from RNAcentral.
GUACUUUUAGGAAAUCAAAUUCAGAAGGAAGCACAUACAAGGAAUAAUAAUAUCUAGCCUUGAGAGAUAAAGAAAGGAUAACAAGUUCCAAAUGUAUUCAUGAACAGCGUGUGCUUGAUAAGAAAGCAAAAGUAACCACGUCGUGCUGGUCUGCAAGUGGGAGCUGGAAGAAUGUUAUAGCUCCUAACAUGGGAAACGUUGACUAGCUGAGUGAAAGAAAGGAUAUCAGUCAAUAAGUGCUCCACGUAUGCACAUGCCAGGAAUAAAGUCUGUGCAAUUUAAUCCCUGUUUCUGAUGGAAUGAGCUGGGCAAGGGCUGGUGAGUUGAGGGCUCCUACUUCUUUCUGGAGUAGGGAUGCAGCUCAAACAAGGUCUGGAGCCUGAUUUAGGAGGGAAGGCUGGAGUGCUCAACCUUGCCUUCCUCUGCAACAAGCCUGGUGGUGGUACCCAGAGGUCAAGCCUAGUAUAAAUCACCACUGCUGCCGGCCGCAUCUUGUGCCAAUGAGAACAUCCAAAUCAGGGAGGGUCUUGCUGUAGGGUCACCAGAGAGAGGAAAGGUUUAUACUGCCUCUAUCUUCUUUAUUCACUGCCCCCAGUAAGAGUCUCAUCCCGUUUGAGACAGGAGUGGGAGCAUCCAGUUCAACGGUUGCAUCCAGAUGGAUUUGGAGUGAUCAGAAUCUUUCUCCCCACUCAGGUCUUAAUUGCUCUAGUUAAUUAAGACUGCAACCUCAUAUGAGGACACUGAGGCAUAUACAAAGGUCAAGCAAUCUGCCCAGGUGUUUCAGGGCUGGAAGGCAUCAACUGAGGAUUUAAAAUCAGUAAAUCCGGCUCCAGAGUCUAUGAUCUGAACUCCUCUACAACUUGUAUUUUAAAAUGAAACUGGAAAAAUAAAUACGACUAUCAAAGAAUAACACUAAUGGAAGCAAACCAGCCCUAACCACUAUCUCAAGAUAGGACAGACAGCGUGCUACUAUAUGAGAAGAGAUCAAGGCAGUUGGUGGAACAAAACCAAUCACUAAGAAACAGAAUCCAUUGUGUACAUCAGUUUAAUUAAAGGUGUUUCUGAAAUCAGAGACAGACAUUUUAAUAAAUUUUGUUAGCACAACAUGCUAAAACUGCAAGGGGAAUGUAAAGAUUCACUUUCAAUUGUGGAUUUUUCUUUUCACCAUCCACAAACAGAAAUCCCAGCUGGA